Molecule: long non-coding RNA, 2980 nt
Organism: Chelonia mydas (Green sea turtle)
Lineage: Eukaryota; Metazoa; Chordata; Testudines; Cheloniidae
Exons: 3
Source: RefSeq, a predicted model, not a curated record
CAGGGAUAUAAGGAGCAGACUGGGCAGGAGAAGGGCAGUUGAAGUGGGAUGAAGUGGUGGUAUGAGCUCCUAGUGGCUGCAUCAAGCUGGCUGUGGAUCCCUGAACAAAGGUUCCUCAUGUAAAGCAUCAAAUCUGGAUUUGAAGGAUUGAUUCUAAAUCCCCUUCCCACUGUACAUAACAGUAGUAAGUCUCAAGCCUGAGCCACCUGCUUCCGUACUCUCCAGGAUGUGAGAUGUUAAAGGGUGGGGAACCAGCAUUUAUGGGGGACACCCGAGGUGAAGAUCCCAAUCUGCUACAAAAGUUCCUGCUGGUGCUGACCAUGCCCUGGAGCUGUCAGGCCCUGCUUGCACUGUCUCGUGCUGUACGUCCUGAGUGGUGCAACAGACACGUCAUUCAUCAAGCUCCUCUGGCUUCUGUAGAAGGCUCCCAAGAAUACCACCAAUAUCCUGUGCUAAUGCUCAUCGCUGCAAUAUGUCAAUUCUGGCCCUGAGCAGAAAGCUGGCUGGCAGACAGAGCUUUCCAGUGGCUGGAUGACUUGGAGCUGUAGUCCAUCAAACAGAGCAAUUUCCAAUCUACUUCAGAGCAAUAGAGGAAACAGGAUUCCUCAUCAGCAAACACUUGGUCUUAAGUGUCCAGUGAUUAUGACUUAAUUUAGUAAUCAUUGGCAUGGGGAUGAGCAUAACAAAUUGGCUGGGUAUUUACAGGAAGGCUGUUAUUCAGUAGUCGCUGAGUAUAAUGAAGGCUUUCAAACCCAGAUGACUGCAUGGCUCCAAAGUUUGAUAUUGGGUUAUGGAGCCUUUCCAGUGCUUGUCCUGCCUCUGACCUCCUAUGUCAACACAGGCAGGUCUGUGUCCCUUCACGCAACCCAGCCCACUUUCAGCCUUGUAACACAGGCUAAGGUAAUGCACUGCAGCAUCAUGUCUUGCAUUUAAAUGGUCCUCACUUGUAUUCCUAACUCUGAAGCUUUUGCAUAGCAGAAGCUUGAUUUCAGUUGUCUUAAGCCUUCUGGACAUUAGACCUGUCAUUAAAAUACCUUCUGUUGCAGGUUAGUGGGAGUUGUGUGCGUAAGGACCUCGUCCGUGGUUAUGCAGCAAUCCUGUUUCAGCAACAUGCAGUGAGCAGAUGUUUCAGGCUAAGGAAAUUCCGUAUGGCCCAUAGCAGUGUGUUCAGCCGUGCACCAUGGCUCCUUGAGGCAAGGGCUUUCUUGGUAUUGUGCCCAGCACAAUGGGGCCCUGGACCAUGACUGGGGUUCACAGGUGCUAAUGCAACAGAAAUUGGCUUCUGUUGUGUUCUUGAGCAGAAAACCAGGCUUGAAAUGAAAACGCCUCUGAGGAGCUAGAUCAGCCCCAGCCUCUUGGUCAGCUGGGAUGUGUAAAUCAACCUGGCCACUUCCUGACUUGCAAGGGGCAUUUCAGAUGCUUGUCCAUGCGCCAGGGUGGUAAAAGGGCUAAAACACAGACCUGCAACUGUCACAUGCAGACAUCACUGCUAAGGGAGCAGCUAGAAAAAUGGACUCCAGUCCAACCUCAGAAGAGCCCCUUCUUGGAGCAGUGACUUCUUUCUACCAUUCCAGAACCCACUGAGAGCCAGAAACGAGGGCUAAGCGCAUCCUGUAUUGGAAAGACUCAGACUCUCAACCAUCCUCUAAUGGAGGUUAGACAAAUUGCUGGAGACUGACUGGCUCCGAUCCAGUGUUAAAAUGCCUAUCUUCACACUAGUUUUACCUUCCCAAACCAAUGUGUUCCUGCAUUUAUUUCCCUAGGCAGGAUGGAGAGUUCUGUUCACCAAGGGCUGAAUAGUACCAUCGUUUCUGGAAUCUAUGAUGUAAUGAUCCCUGCAUGAGACAUCACAAUCUCUGCAUGGGCACCUACAAAUAGCACAGGGCAGCUGCUGGGCACGUUGCCAGUGCACACACCGAAUAACCAUUGAAUGGCUGUAGAACAUCUCCGCUUGCUCCAAAGGUGAUCUGCAGGGCUGGACAAGAAAUGGGUUUUCUGGCCCCCAAGAACUUGAGGUUGUUAGAGUUGGUUGUGGGGGGAGGCACCCCUAUUUUUUUUUAAUGGUGCACAUAUGUGCCCUUGUCUCCUCCCCUGUCUAGCUCUGUUAGGUCUGAGGUUGGACUGCAAGUGCUCUGGAGCCUGAAAUUUCCAAGUCCUGAAUUAGUGGCCGGACCAGCCAUGAGGAAAGUGUACCCCAGGAGUCCAAGGUCGCGUAGCAGACGUGAGGGCCUCUUUCCUACCCCCCACCACCUGUGUGUUGGAAAAGUGGGUUAUCUUCAGAAUAGGUGCUCUGCAAGUCUGUUGCAAUGGCUCCCUCUGCCUGUGUUCUGGUGGCCAUUCUUGGAUGGACUCUGGGUGCUUAAGGUGUCUUAUGGGCAAAGGAUGAAUUUGUCCCAGCAACACGUCCAAUGGCUACUAUCCCACCAGAGCCGUAGUGGAAGCACGGAUAAGGCAGGCAUGCGUGGCUUAGCACAGCUCCUAUCAGUUUGGCUUCUUCUGACAGGUUUGUAGGCAACCUUGCUGCUCUCUUUUCGCUGCCCCCCUCACAUGGCCCUUUGUGCAGUGGCAAAUAACAUGAGAUGCAAGGUACAAAUGAAUGAGGAUCCUUGUGAGUCUGAGCAUCAUACCUGUAGAGGGAAGACCUGAGAGAAAGCAGUUUCUUUUAAACUCUGGGUACCAAAAAAGCAGAUGGGACUGGAAGAGAAGGAAUGAAUGCUGUGGCCCUGGUUCCCUAAGGGGCUGCAGAAAGUGUUAACGGUCUGACGCACCGGAUUUGGUUUCAGUGGAGAUGUAACUGCCUAUAACUUGACUAAUACAGUAGUGAAUUGCCCCACCCUGUCUCCAGAGUAGCCUGGUUAGAACUGGUUGGAAAUCAAACAUCCCUCAUCCUUUUCUCCCCUUCUGUGCUCUUUCCCCACACCCCCAAAAAAAUCUGUUCAAAAUGUUUUGUUUUGAAAAUUAUUAAAAUAUUUCAAAUCAA